AUCCUAGGUGACUUAAGGCCUUAGUUGAUGAGGUUUUAAGGGGCUAAUCCAUAGAUUUGGACUAGGAUUAAGUCUAAAGGUGGGUGUAUGGUGAGAUAUGGGUGUACAUGGGCUUGAGAAGUGCAUCACAUUAGGUUUGCCAUUUGGAAGUUUUUGUUGAGCUUUGGGCUUGACCCAUUUGUAUAGGUAUUUAUACAGAAAAUAGGUCAAGGAUUGUGUGAUGCUGAAUACA
RNAcentral lists this long non-coding RNA (232 nucleotides) under Elaeis guineensis (African oil palm). RNAcentral's name for it is "long non-coding RNA (EGUI_LNC056063)". Lineage: Eukaryota; Viridiplantae; Streptophyta; Magnoliopsida; Arecales; Arecaceae. The record is from RNAcentral.